Molecule: non-coding RNA, 108 nt
Organism: Cercophora newfieldiana
Lineage: Eukaryota; Fungi; Ascomycota; Sordariomycetes; Sordariales; Lasiosphaeriaceae
Source: the annotation of a GenBank genome assembly
GGCAAAGUAGCCAAGCGGUCUAAGGCGCCAGGUUCAGGUCCACCUGAAUUAGCAAUUAAGCAUCCUGGUCUCAGAAAUGGGGCGCGAGUCCGAAUCUCGUCUUUGUCA